This 256-nucleotide ribosomal RNA is filed under the name uncultured bacterium. RNAcentral's name for it is "partial 16S ribosomal RNA". It matches the Rfam family "Bacterial small subunit ribosomal RNA", at positions 524 to 775 of the family's 1533-position model. The record is from RNAcentral.
GACGGUAGGAUGCGAGCGUUAUUCGGAUUUAUUGGGCGUAAAGCGUGCGUAGGCGGCUAUUUAAGUCUGGAUGUUAAAGCUAGGGGCUCAACCCCUGGUGAUGCACUGGAUACUGGGUAGCUUGAGUGCGGUAGAGGGUGGCGGAACUCCGGGUGUAGCGGUGAAAUGCGUAGAUAUCCGGAAGAACGACCGAUGGCGAAGGCAACCACCUGGGCCUGGCACUGACGCUGAGGUACGAAGCGUGGGGAGCAACAGG